This is a non-coding RNA of Xyrichtys novacula (pearly razorfish), 1093 nucleotides long. The record is from the annotation of a GenBank genome assembly. NCBI's taxonomy places the organism in Eukaryota, Metazoa, Chordata, Actinopteri, Labriformes, Labridae.
UGCAAGGGAAGCUCGGCUUCCCUUAAAAUGUCACCCCCCAAAAAAAAGAAAAAGUGGUGAAAUACGUACGGCUGUGUGUACAUUUCAUUAACUAAAUACGCACUAGAAAGCCUUCAUCUUUUGUUCAGACACUGUGAUAAGAAGCUGAUAAUUACAGGUAACCGGCAUAACUUCGUUCUCAUUCAUCCUCGCAGCGCCUCAGCGCUUUAAACAGCCGGACGCUGGGCUUCUGCUGACUUCAAUGUGGAAGCUAAAAGUGGGUUGUUCCAGCAGCGAAAUUAGACGCUCAUUGGAUAAAUGCUGGGCUUUGUCCCGCCCAAUGGAAGCUAAGCUUCACUGGAGCUCAAUGGCGAGAGGGCGGUCCCGACUUUCUCCCGGACUCCAAGCUUCUGCAUCCAUGAUUGGAUGAGCUGUCUGAGGCGAAAUCCUUUUUUGAUUGACAGCUAAACAAGCGAAUCAGCGAUCUUGAAGAAUAAAACACCUACCAGAGCAUUUUCCAAGUCAUUCUUUCCGUUGUUCUUAACUGCUCCAGAGACUUUACCGAUCCUCAGCGACUUUUGUCUUUGUUAAAAACGACUGCCGUUGUGUUUGGCGACUCUGUUCUGUUACAUACUAAUACAUAAAUACAAUUAUGAUGUAGGCCAGAAAAAUGAGCUUCCCCUCAUUGAAAGACCAGCAGCCGCCACUGGAACUAGGUAUAUACCAGUGGCGAUUGCUCUAAGACUGCAAGGGAAGCUCAGCUUCCCUUAAUGUCACCCCCCCAAAAAAAAAAGAAAAAGUGGUGAAAUACGUACUGCUGUGUGUACAUUUCAUUAACUAAAUACGCGCUAGAAAGCCUUCAUCUUUUGUUCAGACACUGUGAUAAGAAGCUGAUAAUCACAGGUAACCGGCAUAACUUCGUUCUCAUUCAUCCUCGCAGCGCCUCAGCGCUUUAAACAGCCGGACGCUGGGCUUCUGCUGACUUCAAUGUGGAAGCUCAAAGUGGGUUGUUCCAGCAGCGAAACUAGACGCUCAUUGGAUAAAUGCUGGGCUUUGUCCCGCCCAUCGGACGCUCGGCGUCUCUGGAGUUCUAUGGCGAGAGGGCGGUCCCGAC